This 72-nucleotide transfer RNA is filed under the name Camelus bactrianus (Bactrian camel). It matches the Rfam family "tRNA". Rfam says of the family: Transfer RNA (tRNA) molecules are approximately 80 nucleotides in length. Their secondary structure includes four short double-helical elements and three loops (D, anti-codon, and T loops). Further hydrogen bonds mediate the characteristic L-shaped molecular structure. tRNAs have two regions of fundamental functional importance: the anti-codon, which is responsible for specific mRNA codon recognition, and the 3' end, to which the tRNAs corresponding amino acid is attached (by aminoacyl-tRNA synthetases). tRNAs cope with the degeneracy of the genetic code in two manners: having more than one tRNA (with a specific anti-codon) for a particular amino acid; and 'wobble' base-pairing, i.e. permitting non-standard base-pairing at the 3rd anti-codon position. RNAcentral also lists the same sequence under 3 other names. Lineage: Eukaryota; Metazoa; Chordata; Mammalia; Artiodactyla; Camelidae. The record is from Rfam by way of RNAcentral.
GAAGGUAUAGCUCAGUGGUAGAGUGCGUGCUUAGCAUGCACGAGGUCCUGGGUUCAAUCCCCAGUACCUCUA